AGUGAACGCUGGCGGUAUGCCUAACACAUGCAAGUCGAACGGCAGCACAGUAAGAGCUUGCUCUUGCGGGUGGCGAGUGGCGGACGGGUGAGGAAUACAUCGGAAUCUACUUUUUCGUGGGGGAUAACGUAGGGAAACUUACGCUAAUACCGCAUACGACCUACGGGUGAAGGCAGGGGAUCUUCGGACCUUGCGCGAUUGAAUGAGCCGAUGUCGGAUUAGCUAGUUGGCGGGGUAAAGGCCCACCAAGGCGACGAUCCGUAGCUGGUCUGAGAGGAUGAUCAGCCACACUGGAACUGAGACACGGUCCAGACUCCUACGGGAGGCAGCAGUGGGGAAUAUUGGACAAUGGGCGCAAGCCUGAUCCAGCCAUACCGCGUGGGUGAAGAAGGCCUUCGGGUUGUAAAGCCCUUUUGUUGGGAAAGAAAAGCAGCAGGUUAAUACCCCGCUGUUCUGACGGUACCCAAAGAAUAAGCACCGGCUAACUUCGUG
This 492-nucleotide ribosomal RNA is filed under the name uncultured bacterium. Its description in RNAcentral is "partial 16S ribosomal RNA". It matches the Rfam family "Bacterial small subunit ribosomal RNA", at positions 29 to 507 of the family's 1533-position model. The record is from RNAcentral.